CUCAGCUGCAGGCCAGAACCGCCAUCUGCUCAACGUGUCCCGGCCUGGUCCUGCGCCUCUAGCUGGUUUUGGAACUUCCAGAACAAUCAUACAUGAUUUUUGUACAGCAGCCCUCUGCACAGCACCAUGAAUUGUGCAGUUUUAGGAGCAGAAGUAAAUACAGGUAUUAAACCAGAGGAUAUGGAAAAAUUACUGCUUUUUCCACAAUAAAUUGGCAAGAAGGCAGGAUCUGUACUCUAAAAGAUUUUAGUUUCCAACAUGUGUGAUUGUGGAAUCUCAUCUAUUUUUCAUCUUUGACUGCCCAAAUCUCUGCUGGCGUAAAAAAAAGAACUCUCUGUGAACGACUACACUUUAUCUUAGCCCAGAGUUAUUCCUUAAAAACCUCUGCAUAUUCUUACAUCAUGCCCUGGGAAGCUGUCACUAAUUAGGGACAGAUGAAUCAAUCCUGAUAAAAUUAAAUCCUGGUUCAACUUUUGCCCCAGUUUCUCCUUUCCUGCCGCCCACAGGAGCCUGGAGUGCCUGCCUUGUUCUCACGUCUUUGGUUUUGGUUACUGGAAUUCUUUGGGAAUACAGGAAUGGGAUGCUUUCUGUCCUAUCUAGAAGAAAAGCUGUGCUUGUUGCAGCAAAGAAACCUCAGACUCAACAAGCCUCAAGGGGAGGUGAACAGAAACCAAAGCUUUACUUUGCUGAAAAAGAAAAAAAAAUCAAUUUGCAUUAAUCAAAAACCUCUUAAGAGAUUUCCAACGUGGUUUUUCCAGACUCAAGGAGCUUUGGAGGCAGAGGAUUCCCACUGGCUGGGUUGGAGUCUCUGCUGGCAUCCAUUUGGGGUGUCUAAUCCAACAGAUCUCCCACUGAUAUCCACCAAAGCUCCCCUCUUGGAGGUUCCUUCAUCAAACCAAAUCACCUGCGGUCCAAGGAGAGUGUGCCUGUGGAAUGACAUCCAAGGGAAAACUUGGCAUGUCAGCAGAAGUACAUUUAGAGCUGAUUUAUAGUCGGGUGUGAGAGUGGAAAAUCGGCUUUGCAGUGUUGGGAUGGACACCAGCAGCUUUUCCCUCAGCCAGGCUGAACCAUGAGGCUUCCUGAAAUUCAUUUAUCACUGCUCUCCCAAGAUCCUUGGGAACAAGCUGAGGGUAAUUCUGCAUUCCACAAACUUUCUUCUCCCACUGCUGGAUUCAAGGAAGGCUCCAAUUACUUCCCUGAUCAGGCUUUGCUCCUGCACAAAUCCCUCAAUCAAAUAUCCACAGCAACCUUCCCUUUGGGACAGAGGGUCGAGGAGUUUUCCUGAACAGCCAGUACAGGUGACAGUCCCACAGCAAAUCCCUUUUACAACCUGAUUUCCAGCACCUUCCUUUCUUAACAGGGAAAACUUGAUAUUUUUCCAAUAAAACAUAUGCAAAUCUCA
Molecule: long non-coding RNA, 1402 nt
Organism: Cyanistes caeruleus (blue tit)
Lineage: Eukaryota; Metazoa; Chordata; Aves; Passeriformes; Paridae
Source: RefSeq, a predicted model, not a curated record